UACAGAGGGGGCAAGCGUUGUUCGGAAUUACUGGGCGUAAAGGGCGCGUAGGCGGCCUUCUAAGUCGAACGUGAAAUCCCUGGGCUCAACCCAGGAACUGCGUCCGAUACUGGGAGGCUUGAAUCCGGGAGAGGGAUGCGGAAUUCCAGGUGUAGCGGUGAAAUGCGCAGAUAUCGGGAAGAACACCCGUGGCGAAGGCGGUUCUCUGGGACGGUACUGACGCUGAGACGCGAAAGCGUGGGGAGCGAACAGG
This 253-nucleotide ribosomal RNA is filed under the name uncultured bacterium. RNAcentral's name for it is "partial 16S ribosomal RNA". It matches the Rfam family "Bacterial small subunit ribosomal RNA", at positions 524 to 776 of the family's 1533-position model. The record is from RNAcentral.